This 336-nucleotide ribosomal RNA is filed under the name Conoplectus canaliculatus. RNAcentral describes it as "partial 12S ribosomal RNA". Lineage: Eukaryota; Metazoa; Arthropoda; Insecta; Coleoptera; Staphylinidae. The record is from RNAcentral.
UUAAUUAGUAUUAGUUAAGUUCUUUAAAUUUAAAAGAUUUGGUAGUAUUAUAUCUAUUUAGAGGAACCUGUUUAAUAAUUGAUAAUCCACGAUUAAUUCUACUUAUUGUAAGUUUGUAUAUCGUUGUAGUUGAAUUUUUUAAUAGAAUAAAAAUUUUCAAAAUAUUGAAUUUAAUAUAAAAUCAAAUCAUGAUGCAGUUUUAAUAAGAAUAUAUGGGUUACAUUAAUUAAUAAUUAUAAAUUAAUAUUUGAAAAUUAUUAUGAAAUUGGAUUUAAAAGUAAUUUUAUUAAUUUUAAUAAAAUGAUAAAGGAAUAUAAUAUGCACACAUCGCCCGUC